Molecule: long non-coding RNA, 631 nt
Organism: Pyrus x bretschneideri (Chinese white pear)
Lineage: Eukaryota; Viridiplantae; Streptophyta; Magnoliopsida; Rosales; Rosaceae
Exons: 2
Source: RefSeq, a predicted model, not a curated record
AUAAAAAAAGAGAUCCCUCUUGUUAAAGGAUCCCAUCUUUUAAAUAUCUAGUUUGAUUUUUGUCUCUAUCUGCUUCUCACUUCAUUCCUAUGUGCUCUUUCUUACGAGCUCUCUUCAAUUGCUCAGCCAUGGCGCCCAUACUCACACUCAAACAGAAAAAAGGGUCUCUUUCAAUUUCUCUGCUCCACUCUUUCUCCUUCAAUUUUCAUUCCUUCCCUCUCUUUCAAUUAUCAAUAUUUUUUUUUUUAAUUCUCAAUUGACGAGGAAGAAAGCAAACGAUUCCACUCUUUCUCUUUCAAUAUUUUUUUUUUAAUUCUCAAUUUUGUAGUAUCUUAAGAACAAUGACGAGGAAGAAAGGAAACGAUUAGAAGAAAGAAUGAAGGAUUGGAACUAUUUUAACAUAAUGAUGAGGAAUACGACCCGAGUAUCGAGGCAUUUCCCUGCCAAUAACUUGAGUUCUUACACUUGUGUAUGGUUUCUUUAUGAAUAAUUGUAACUUGAUGUCUUAUCUUUUACUAGUACUUCUAUUUAUUAGUAUGCUCUGGACAUAUUCGUAGAUCUUUUAUUUCUGAUUUGUACUUGCUAGACAUUCUAUUUCUUUCAUGUUUAAUUUGGAUUAUUAUUAUUACCU